RNAcentral lists this ribosomal RNA (185 nucleotides) under Klebsiella pneumoniae. RNAcentral describes it as "partial 16S ribosomal RNA". It matches the Rfam family "Bacterial small subunit ribosomal RNA", at positions 1 to 177 of the family's 1533-position model. The record is from RNAcentral. Lineage: Bacteria; Pseudomonadati; Pseudomonadota; Gammaproteobacteria; Enterobacterales; Enterobacteriaceae.
ACUUAAAUUGAAGAGUUUGAUCAUGGCUCAGAUUGAACGCUGGCGGCAGGCCUAACACAUGCAAGUCGAGCGGUAGCACAGAGAGCUUGCUCUCGGGUGACGAGCGGCGGACGGGUGAGUAAUGUCUGGGAAACUGCCUGAUGGAGGGGGAUAACUACUGGAAACGGUAGCUAAUACCGCAUAAC